RNAcentral lists this ribosomal RNA (425 nucleotides) under uncultured bacterium. RNAcentral's name for it is "bacterial SSU rRNA". It matches the Rfam family "Bacterial small subunit ribosomal RNA", at positions 359 to 776 of the family's 1533-position model. The record is from RNAcentral.
GAAUAUUGGACAAUGGGGGAAACCCUGAUCCAGCAACGCCGCGUGGGGGAAGAAGGUCUUCGGAUUGUAAACCCCUGUUGAGAGGGGCGAAGGCUUUCGGGCGAACCGCCCGGAGGCUUGACGGUACCUCGAGAGGAAGCACCGGCGAACUCUGUGCCAGGAGCCGCGGUAAUACAGGGGGGGCAAGCGUUAUUCGGAAUCCUUGGGCGUAAAGGGCGCGUAGGCGGCCGCGUAAGUCUCGGGUGAAAUCCCUCGGCUCAACCGAGGAACUGCCCUGGAUACUGCGUGGCUUGAAGCCGGGAGAGGAUGGUGGAAUUCCCAGUGUAGCGGUGAAAUGCGUAGAUAUUGGGAGGAACACCGGUGGCGAAGGCGGCCAUCUGGACCGGUCCUGACGCUGAGGCGCGAAAGCGUGGGGAGCAAACAGG